This 433-nucleotide ribosomal RNA is filed under the name uncultured bacterium. RNAcentral describes it as "partial 16S ribosomal RNA". It matches the Rfam family "Bacterial small subunit ribosomal RNA", at positions 29 to 507 of the family's 1533-position model. The record is from RNAcentral.
AACGAACGCUGGCGGCAGGCUUAACACAUGCAAGUCGAACGCACCUUUCGGGGUGAGUGGCAGACGGGUGAGUAACGCGUGGGAAUCUACCCUUCUCUACGGGAUAGCUCCGGGAAACUGGAAUUAAUACCGUAUACGUCCUGAGGGAGAAAGAUUUAUCGGGGAAGGAUGAGCCCGUGUUGGAUUAGCUAGUUGGUGGGGUAAAGGCCUACCAAGGCGACGAUCCAUAGCUGGUCUAAGAGGAUGAUCAGCCACAUUGGGACUGAGACACGGCCCAAACUCCGACGGGAGGCAGCAGUGGGGAAUAUUGGACAAUGGGCGCAAGCCUGAUCCAGCCAUGCCGCGGGAGUGAUGAAGGCCCUAGGGUUGUAAAGCUCUUUCAGUGGGGACGAUAAUGACGGUACCCACAGAAGAAGCCCCGGCUAACUUCGUG